RNAcentral lists this ribosomal RNA (1404 nucleotides) under uncultured bacterium. Its description in RNAcentral is "bacterial SSU rRNA". It matches the Rfam family "Bacterial small subunit ribosomal RNA". The record is from RNAcentral.
AGAGUUUGAUCCUGGCUCAGGAUGAACGCUAGCGGCAGGCUUAACACAUGCAAGUCGAGGGGCAGCGGGGAGGAAGCUUGCUUUCUCCGCCGGCGACCGGCGCACGGGUGAGUAACACGUAUGCAACCUGCCCCUGUCAGGGGGACAACCCGCCGAAAGGCGGGCUAAACCCGCGUACAUGCCACCGGGGCAUCCCGGAGGCAGGAAAGGCUUCGGCCGGACAGGGAUGGGCAUGCGGCGCAUUAGGCAGUAGGCGGGGUAACGGCCCACCUAACCGACGAUGCGUAGGGGUUCUGAGAGGAAGGUCCCCCACACUGGUACUGAGACACGGACCAGACUCCUACGGGAGGCAGCAGUGAGGAAUAUUGGUCAAUGGUCGGGAGACUGAACCAGCCAAGCCGCGUGAGGGAGGAAGGUACAGAGUAUCGUAAACCUCUUUUGUCAGGGAACAAAGGCGGGGACGUGUCCCCGGAUGAGUGUACCUGAAGAAAAAGCAUCGGCUAACUCCGUGCCAGCAGCCGCGGUAAUACGGAGGAUGCGAGCGUUAUCCGGAUUUAUUGGGUUUAAAGGGUGCGCAGGCGGUCUGUUAAGUCAGCGGUCAAAGCCCGGGGCUCAACCCCGGCCCGCCGUUGAAACUGGCAGUCUCGAGUUGGAGAGAAGUAUGCGGAAUGCGCGGUGUAGCGGUGAAAUGCAUAGAUAUCGCGCAGAACUCCGAUUGCGAAGGCAGCAUGCCGGCUCCACACUGACGCUGAGGCACGAAAGCGUAGGUAUCGAACAGGAUUAGAUACCCUGGUAGUCCACGCAGUAAACGAUGAAUGCUGGCUGUCCGGGGGGACUGACCCCUGGGUGGCGAAGCGAAAGCGAUAAGCAUUCCACCUGGGGAGUACGCCGGCAACGGUGAAACUCAAAGGAAUUGACGGGGGCCCGCACAAGCGGAGGAACAUGUGGUUUAAUUCGAUGAUACGCGAGGAACCUUACCCGGGCUCAAACGGGGAGUGCCGCAGGCAGAGACGCCUGUUUCCCACGGGACACUCCCCGAGGUGCUGCAUGGUUGUCGUCAGCUCGUGCCGUGAGGUGUCGGCUUAAGUGCCAUAACGAGCGCAACCCCCGCGUGCAGUUGCUAACAGAUAACGCUGAGGACUCUGCACGGACUGCCGGCGCAAGCCGCGAGGAAGGCGGGGAUGACGUCAAAUCAGCACGGCCCUUACGUCCGGGGCGACACACGUGUUACAAUGGGUGGUACAGCGGGAAGCCAGGCGGCGACGCCGAGCGGAACCCGAAAUCCACUCUCAGUUCGGAUCGGAGUCUGCAACCCGACUCCGUGAAGCUGGAUUCGCUAGUAAUCGCGCAUCAGCCAUGGCGCGGUGAAUACGUUCCCGGGCCUUGCACACACCGCCCGUCAAG